Marmota marmota marmota (Alpine marmot) is the source of this 138-nucleotide small nucleolar RNA. NCBI's taxonomy places the organism in Eukaryota, Metazoa, Chordata, Mammalia, Rodentia, Sciuridae. The record is from Ensembl.
UUGGCCCUAAAUCAAGGUCAGGAGUUUGUUGAAGCUGUUGGUUUCAAGCAGGAGCCUAAAGAAAUGUCUUUCUAUGGUCUGUUGGCUAUUUCAGAACUUUAGAAGUGUAAUAGUCACCCACGCUGGCAAGGUAGAUGG